CAGUCGCCACGGUAAUACGGAGGGAGCUAGCGUUGUUCGGAAUUACUGGGCGUAAAGCGCACGUAGGCGGCUUUGCAAGUUAGAGGUGAAAGCCUGGGGCUCAACCCCAGAAUUGCCUUUAAGACUGCAUCGCUAGAAUCCAGGAGAGGUGAGUGGAAUUCCGAGUGUAGAGGUGAAAUUCGUAGAUAUUCGGAAGAACACCAGUGGCGAAGGCGGCUCACUGGACUGGUAUUGACGCUGAGGUGCGAAAGCGUGGGGAGCAAACAGGAUUAGAUACCCCAGUAGUCCAUGUCUCUUAUAC
Molecule: ribosomal RNA, 301 nt
Filed under: uncultured bacterium
Lineage: Bacteria
Description: partial 16S ribosomal RNA
Rfam family: Bacterial small subunit ribosomal RNA
Source: RNAcentral